CCCCUCUGCAGGCAGCUACUUCUGCAUUUCUUGCUUAUUCCUCCAGACGUGGCAUAUGGGAUCACUUAUGCAGCACUACGAGGUACCAGUCAUUUCCUUCGGCAUUACCUGGAGUUUAGUAAGCUUUAUAACAUAAUACUAGUAAGUAGGCCCCAUGUCACAGGACAGGGACCGAGGACAGGGGGUUUAGGUGACUUUCCCAGGUGGCUUCUAGUAUGAUCGGAUACCAGUCAUCAGACACGAGCUCCCAUGCUCCUGGUCACUGUCCUAUUAUCUUUUCUGUGCUGUCAUCCAAAUAAAAUCGCGUCCCCACGCAUCACUCUGCUGGGGGUGGUAAGCACACACCACAUCGCAAUGCCCCUCUUGGGCCCAGCCUGGACUCAGUUGGCUCCCCAGGCACAGGUGAACAAGGAGAACGGGAGUGUGACCCAGCAAUGAACGAUCGCACUCCCAGGGUCUUCUCCCAGCUGCACAGCGACCGUGUUGUGGUCAGUGUACUUCCAGGAUCAGGGCUUACGUUACAAAAAGAGAAGAUCAUAGGGAAUUCAAACACAGGAUUCACAAAAAAAUCAUCUGUAGUCAAGAAAAUCUACUGGCUGUCCCCAGCAGUGUCUCGGCAGCAUCCAAAUGGACUUCUGGCCAAACAACAGGGUAGAGCCACAAAUAUCACCUCCAUGGACUACUCCAUUGAAGGUCCUGUGGGUACAAAAUCAAAUAAUUAGGAUCCAUGGAGGCAGAGGAUGUGACGUUCUUACUCACCAGAGCAUGCUGCACACUCCCCGUUGCACCUGAUGAACAGGACAGAGAUUCUCUGGAGACAGGACAAUGAGGACAACACUCCAUGCUGGGGACAGUGUGAGGUCUGAAUCUGCACAGUCUGCUCUGUGCCCAGCUCUGCCCUUCGCGCCAUGUGACCCAGGGCCGGAUCAACAAACUUCUCUAGGAGCGCCCAUGGCUCGUGUCUAAACUAUGAGUGACAUAUUGAAAGCUACAUUUGAAACUAAGGAUAUACUAUAAGUUGGCUAACUGAAUUUAAAUAAAAAAUAAAAUGAAAAAA
This 1057-nucleotide long non-coding RNA is filed under the name Vulpes vulpes (red fox). Its description in RNAcentral is "lncRNA (ENSVVUG00000002397.1)". Lineage: Eukaryota; Metazoa; Chordata; Mammalia; Carnivora; Canidae. The record is from RNAcentral.